This 84-nucleotide transfer RNA is filed under the name Chloroflexota bacterium. RNAcentral describes it as "tRNA-Leu". It matches the Rfam family "tRNA". Rfam says of the family: Transfer RNA (tRNA) molecules are approximately 80 nucleotides in length. Their secondary structure includes four short double-helical elements and three loops (D, anti-codon, and T loops). Lineage: Bacteria; Bacillati; Chloroflexota. The record is from RNAcentral.
GCCGAAGUGGCGGAAUGGCAGACGCGACGGUCUCAAACACCGUUGCCGCAAGGCAUGAGGGUUCGAGUCCCUCCUUCGGCACCA